This 44-nucleotide non-coding RNA is filed under the name Schistosoma mattheei. The record is from RNAcentral. Lineage: Eukaryota; Metazoa; Platyhelminthes; Trematoda; Strigeidida; Schistosomatidae.
AGCAGCUGACGAGUCCCAGCUAGAACGAAACGCGUGUCCUGGAU